GGUAGAUUUAUAUUGUUCUCUGUCUCUAUAGGGUCCAGCUGGUAGAUUUAUAUUGUUCUCUGUCUCUAUAGGGUCCAGCUGGUAGAUUUAUAUUGUUCUCUGUCUCUAUAGGGUCCAGCUGGUGGAUUUAUAUUGUUCUCUGUCUCUAUAGGGUCCCUAUGGUCCAGCUGGUCUAAAGGGAGAUAUAGGCAUGCCAGGUAGACCGGGCCGUCCUGGGUUGAAUGGUGUCAAAGGAGAGAGGGGGGAUUCAGCAGGAGGGACUGGAGGAUAUGGAGGUCCUCCAGGACCACCUGGCCCACCCGACCCCCCGGGGCCAGCAGUACCUCUGGACAGGUUCACUGUGAGUAGAUGUCUGAUCCAGUAUUGUAUCUUUCCCAGACGUUGGUGUUGUGAGUUAUAUGCUGUAGUCAGUCAGGUUUGAUAGGGUCUCUUUCCAAGGUACAGUAGUGUAACUCUUCUCCCCUUUGUUCUGUUUCACACUCAGAGGGAUGAUGUAUCACGGUUAUAUCCUGACUCCAAAGGAGACAAAGGUGAUCGUGGAGUACCAGGAAUACCCGGGGUACCAGGUCUCACGUCCAACUUUGACAUCUACACCUUCAAGAGGGAGAUGAAGGGAGAGAGAGGAGACUCGGGGAUGAAGGGGGAGAAGGGCGAGCCAGCCGGAGGAUAUUAUGGUGGCGGUUACG
Oncorhynchus keta (chum salmon) is the source of this 686-nucleotide long non-coding RNA. RefSeq lists it as uncharacterized. NCBI's taxonomy places the organism in Eukaryota, Metazoa, Chordata, Actinopteri, Salmoniformes, Salmonidae. The transcript is spliced from 6 exons. The record is from RefSeq and is a predicted model, not a curated record.